UAUUGAAUGAGCUACCUAAGAUAUUGGUAA
This 30-nucleotide non-coding RNA is filed under the name Rattus norvegicus (Norway rat). Lineage: Eukaryota; Metazoa; Chordata; Mammalia; Rodentia; Muridae. The record is from RNAcentral.